GGGACAUAAGUUGGUUUCAACAUCUAAGUUGCAUUUAGAAGAUGAAUAUUUAUAUAUUCAUGUCUUA
This 67-nucleotide transfer RNA is filed under the name Colpocephalum spinicollis. RNAcentral's name for it is "tRNA-Ala". Lineage: Eukaryota; Metazoa; Arthropoda; Insecta; Psocodea; Menoponidae. The record is from RNAcentral.